CCGUGGUGCCCCGCGGCGAGCGGCGGCAGGAGCGGCCGCGACUCCAUCCGGGUCCCGGCGCGGCUCCGGGUCACCCCGCCGCAGGGAGUACUGUACGCUGAAUGUGAAACAUGAAAAUGAUUCUUCUGUCAUGUAACAUACUCUCAGUCAACAGGAUCCAGAAUUAACGUGUCUGCAAAAGGUGAGGUCAGUUUGCAUACUGUAAAGAAAUUCACUGGCUUAUUUUUCAAUAAUCUCUACUUCCAGCAUCUUUAUGUAAAUAAAUGUGCAUGUAUACGUACUUACAAAGUAUUUAUAAAAGCUUAAAAGCCUCCAGAGGCUUUUCUUUAGUCUGGUUUGUCAAGUGAAAUAGUCUCUGCCGUGGUCGUGCCAUAGUAAGUAGUAAACCUUUUUUAUGCGCUGGAGCACUAAUUAUGCACCGAUUUGGACAGAUUACAUCUGCUUUUUUACUUGUCUUUAUUAAACAGUAAGCUACUUCUCUAAUGUGAUUACUAAUAGUAUUUUUUGAAGUGUUGCUGUAUAUGGAUACAGCAAGAGGCAAUUGGUGUAAGUCACUGAAAUACGUUAACAGUACUUAUUUUUGACUAGCGUAGAAAGAAUUAAACUAGGCCUAUGAACCAUUCAUUUAUAUAGUCUAAGUCCAGAACUAAAGAAUUAUGAUCACUUACGUAUAAAUGGCUUAUUACAGAUGUAAAAAUUUGAGAAGAUGCUGCAAUUUGCAUUAUGUUCAUUCUUUGUUCAUUAAUCAUGAUCACAGACUUUACUUUUCUGCAGAUCUGCUUCAUUCCGUGCAUGAGUGGUUAGCAGGGACUUCAGAUUUCUUUCAAGCUGUGGUUUUUGGAUAUCUAUAUUCUUUCUGUAACUGUAUGAUCAGAAAAAUAAAUGAAAAUUAAACAUAAUUGAAAAUGGAACAAACCAGUAAUAUUUCACGUUACAAUUAUUUAAAACCAGGAUGCUUUAUAUUAAAGCAAUUAAACAUAAGUGGGGAAUAUAGAUUUUGUGAAAAGCUUUGUCUAGUGUCUCAAUCAGGAAUGUCAAAGAUGUUAUUGAUGACAGAGGCAUUAAUCUUAUGCUGCUGUAUGAAAAAUACAAAGAAAUACUGUAGUGGAUACAUCUCCCUUUCCAGCUGCAUUGACUUUGCUGCUGCUCAUGCUUGGAGUUUGAGCCCACCUAUAUCUUAGUAUAGCGGGCACUGGAACUGCUCGUGUUCUUUUCUCCCCUCUGUAGAAUUUGCCAGUUCAAACGAGUAUUCUGGUAUUGUUUAGUUACACUUAAUCCAUUGUAUUGCUGCUUAAUUGACUACCGUGUCCAAAUAAAGGAACUAAAUUGUAAGUUUUGGAGAACUCCUGAGAAGGCCUCUGGCCUGUCGCUUGGCACGGCUUCCGUUCUGAUUAAACAAUGUUUACUUUCUUGGUCAGUGCCUUGUUUCACUGUAGGUGAAUUUACGUGGCAUAACAAAAAAAACAACGCCCUUCACCUGUUCAGUUUCAGUCUUCACAUAGUUUUAUUUUAUUUUAAACUUACAGCUUUGACUUUUCUGCUACAUUUAAUUUUUAUCUUCUGAGUUUUAAAGUUGAAAUUAAGCAUUAGAAUCAAAGUCUAUUGUAACAAGCCACUUAUGCAUUUACAGUUGCAAAAUGGUCUUUUCCUUUAAGGAGGUACUAUAGCAUUCAUUAUAUGCCUCAAAGCAUCUGUUUAUAUCACGUAUAGAUGUCAGUAAAGGAUAGUUAGGGUAAGAAGUAUUGGUUUUACAAACAUGCUUUCUGCUUUAGGUUAUUUCUCCUGUGCUGUGAAUUGGACAAAAUCAAGUUAGAAGAUAAAGAAUUUGUCAGGAGUUUUUUUCCUAUACAGUUUAGGAACUUUUCAGAGGUUUCAAGCACGUAUGGGUAGUUCA
Molecule: non-coding RNA, 1894 nt
Organism: Anas platyrhynchos (mallard)
Lineage: Eukaryota; Metazoa; Chordata; Aves; Anseriformes; Anatidae
Source: RefSeq, a predicted model, not a curated record